Molecule: long non-coding RNA, 1000 nt
Filed under: Mytilus galloprovincialis (Mediterranean mussel)
Lineage: Eukaryota; Metazoa; Mollusca; Bivalvia; Mytilida; Mytilidae
Source: RNAcentral
CUGAACUUACAGUACUUAAACGAAUAGUUUAUAAUUACAACAUUAAGAACAUUACUUAUUGACACUUAAAAGUGAUAUAAUAAACCCCGAGAAAUUUGGGAAGAAUAAUGAAUUUGAAAACAAAACAAGCUCUUAUUUUUGUUUCAAUUUCCUUAUGUUUUAAAAUACAUAUUAAGUAGUUUACCGAUAUUAAAACCACGUAUCUCAAUUUCGAAUAUACAAAAAAAAAAACCAGACAAAUUUUACAGGAAACUUAUGAACUUCAAAACAGGGGCGAAAGAUACCAAAGGGACAGUCAAACUCAUAGAUCGAAAAUAAAAUGGCAACGCCAUGGCUCAAAAAGAAAAAAUACAAACACAAAUAAUAGUACACAAGACACAACAUAGAAAACUAAAGACUAAUCAACAGGAACCCUACCAAAAACUGGAUACGAUCUCAGGUACUCUGGAAUGGUAAGUUGAUCCCGUUCCACAUGUGGCACCCGCGGUGUUGCUUAUGUUAAUAUUACAAACCUGGUAUUGUCUUAUUCGGUAGGUCACAUUCGUAACAGGUAUGCAACACCAGGUAUAUGUACAGUUUAACAAAUGUUGUAUUGACUUAAUGUACAUGUACGGCAUCUGUGUCAAUUCCACUGUCGGUAGUCUUUCAAUGUUGUUAAGAAGUUACCAUUAUAUUAUUUUGAUAACAUACAUUUCAAUUACUAUACAAGACAGGUGAAAGAGGACGAAGUCUGUAUAACGAAUGUUAUUUUUAUUGUGUUGUUGUCCAUAUUCUGUUUGGUAAUAAGAUAUGCAAGCUAGAGGGAAUUUGUAUUACUUUCAACAUGGCUACAGCUAGCAACAAAACAGGGACAGGGUAACACAACUGUUGAAAAUCAAUUUUAAGUUCAUAUUAAGUUAGUCGAUUUUUCGUACUAAUGAUUUUCUUACAGUUUUUUUUUUAUCUUCUCCCAACAUUUUUAACUGUAGUUAAAAUUGAUUCGGCAAAGAUAAAAUUUGCC